Molecule: ribosomal RNA, 465 nt
Filed under: uncultured bacterium
Lineage: Bacteria
Description: partial 16S ribosomal RNA
Rfam family: Bacterial small subunit ribosomal RNA
Source: RNAcentral
GACGAACGCUGGCGGCGUGCUUAACACAUGCAAGUCGAACGGAAAGGCCCUGCUUGCCGGGUACUCGAGUGGCGAACGGGUGAGUAACACGUGGGUGAUCUGCCCUGCACUUCGGGAUAAGCCUGGGAAACUGGGUCUAAUACCGGAUAGGAGCCAUUUUUAGUGUGAUGGUUGGAAAGUUUUUUCGGUGUAGGAUGAGCUCGCGGCCUAUCAGCUUGUUGGUGGGGUAAUGGCCUACCAAGGCGGCGACGGGUAGCCGGCCUGAGAGGGUGGACGGCCACAAUGGGGCUGAGGUACGGCCCGGACGCCUACGGGAGGCAGCAGUGGGGAAUAUUGCACAAUGGGCGCAGGCCGGAUGCAGCGACGCCGCGUGGGGGAUGACGGCCUUCGGGUUGUAAACUCCUUUCGCGAGGGACGAAGCUUUUUGUGACGGUACCUAGAUAAGAAGCACCGGCUAACUACGUG